This is a long non-coding RNA of Motacilla alba alba, 6728 nucleotides long. RefSeq lists it as uncharacterized. NCBI's taxonomy places the organism in Eukaryota, Metazoa, Chordata, Aves, Passeriformes, Motacillidae. The record is from RefSeq and is a predicted model, not a curated record. The transcript has 3 exons.
AUAUCUUCAUGUCUGAUUAGCUUCCUCAAGAGCCUCAAGGGAGGCAACUUUUUAAGUGCCUUAUGGAAAUCCAUAUAGAUGGUAUCAACCAGAUCUGUGCUGCCAACCUUUUAUUGACAUGUCAGAGGAUUUUGGUAGGCUCCCUUCCGGUACUGAAAGACAACAAAUAGAUCACCCCAAAGCCUUCUCUUCUCCAGGCGGAAUAAAACAAAUUCUCUCAGGCGGAAUAAAACAAAUUCUCUCAGCCUUUUCUUGUACGAGGUCCUCCAUCCCUCUAGCCAUCUUGGUGGCCCUCUUCUGGACUCGCUCCAACAGCUCCAUGUCUUUCUUGUGCUGAGGACCCCAGAGCUGGAUGCAGUACUCCAGGUCUUGAAAAAUUCAAGUUGAAAAAUGAGUUUACAGAGAGAAUUGGCUUUCCUACCUCUAUUUAAACUGUUUAUUUUUAGCUAAAUAUUACUGAAUAUGGAAGCAGUCCAGUUUACAUCCUGGUUUGAUUUCCUGUUUACAUGAGCCAGUCUGGUGUCACCAUCGUAUUUCUGGACCACUCUGGAAGCCUGUGUGCAGCCUUCCUUCCACCUCCAAGGAGAGCUGCCCUACACAAUGGAACUAUUGUUGUGCUCUCUGAUAAUGAAAUAUGAAUAUUGCUGGGCACAGAAUAUGCUGGGCUUAUGUCACUUUGCUAUAGUGCACCGAUAUAACAGCAAACCUUUCACUGAAAUGUGGGGAGAAAACUCACAUUAGAGACUAAAGUCGUAACUGUGCGCAUAUUUUUUUGAAGUUAACAUAUAAACAGAUCUGGUAAUAUAUAGAAUGGCUCCCUGUAGUAUAGUUUUUGUGGGCUUGAGGGGGAGGGGUGUCUUUAGUUUUAAUUUUUUCCCCUUCCCAUCUGGUUUUGCUUCCCAAACUAUAAAGCUUACUAUUUCCCUUAAGAGACUAUUAAAUUUUUUUUUUGAAAUCUACAAAAUAAUUGAGAAUCUGAACUGGCCAUUAUGACUACUAAUGGUCAUAACAGCAGGCAUUUCACAGGAGGGACUCAGGGAGCUCAGUUUCACCAGUCCAUCUAAUGCAUUCACAGUCUCUGUCCUUGUUAUUAUUUUAAUAGGAUUUUCAGAAUGAAAUGGAAUAGUAUGUGCAUCCAGAGAAUGCUCAUGCCAGGUAAAAGAGCAAUGUUUCAUAAUUUUGGCUUAGAUUCCAUCUAGCAAUUUUUUUUGGUUUAUUUUCAGUAAAGAUGCAUUUUAGAGAAGUGGGAAUACUUUAAUGUGUACUGAUGAAUGUAAAACUAGAGACAAACAAGUCUAAGAUUAGUUUAAGGAUGAUAUAAAUACUGCUAUGCUAAUGGAUAAGAACUCAGAAAUAUAACUGGUUAAUUCUUUUGUUCUAGAGGCUGAUUCACAAUAACUGAACAAGAUAAAUUGAGCAAAGCUCAGUCAGUUUAUAGUAACCUUUUGUAUUCAUCGAUGCAAAAUUUCAUUCCAUGAUUAUUUUUUUUUACAAGGCAUACUGAAAACUUCAUUUUUAUUCAAUUACCCAUUUUAAAAUCACAUUUUGAAUGAGUUCCUUCCAUUACAACAUCGAGAUUCUUCCCUGGUGUCUUUUAAACACACCAGUUUUUUAACGAUGCUCUUUCUGAUGCUUGCUGGAGAGCACAGCUACCUAGCAUGGCCUGUGCCCAGGCUUACCUUCUGCUGCUAUUUCCAUUUCAGAUGUGCUGCGGCUGUGCCUGGGGAAUACCCUCGAGGAAAGCUUUGUCCCAGGGAGGCAAAUGAGGUUCCCCGGGGCAGCCCACCGCAGUGCUGCAGCUGGCCCCCGGCAACCCACGCCCCGCACCCUGGCUCAGGGGCACUGCCGAGGCACAAGGCAGGGCUCGGAAAUUCUCUGUCCAAUUUUAAAAAGGUCAAAAGAUACAGAUGGAAAAUGGCUCCCGAUUUUCCUGGUCCAAUAGCACAAAGCAGGUCUCCUCCUGCAUUAAUAGGGACAUGUAUAAAUAACAGUCAUGGGGUCUCUCAGGGAUGGGCUUACAGUGAGGCUAUCAAACUGCAACUAUCAAAAGGGGACACAGCAAUUCAUUUGAAACCCAUAUGCUAUUUAUUUUAAUACUGUUAAAAACUUGCAGAAAAUCUUGAUUGUACUCUGAAACUUCUGUCUUUCCACUCACAAAAAUCAAAGUACCUCAGUCAACAAUCUUUAAUUAAAUGAAAUUUUAAAAAAGAAAAAAAAAAAAAAGCAAAAACAUUUUAAGUCUGGACAAUAUUUCACAGCUAUUUUCUUUUUAAAGCUGGUCACAGUAGAAUAUUAUGCUGAUGAUCAUAAUGCACUCUCUUAUUUUUGUUUCAGUUGAAUGCUAGCAAUACCUAAAAACCACUUUAAACCUCAAUGCUGCUUCAGUAAGUGCUGCAGCAAGAACAAAAUUUCUUCUACGUACAGAAACUAUGUUUGUGUGGGGUAGGGAGGGUGUAUGUUACACUUAGAUAGGAUUCCAAAAUAUGCCCUGAUCAUGAGACUCAGUAAUUAUGGUCUAAAAUAUUUAUUACCUGCAUAAGAAAUGUCACAUAAAAACAGUUUUAGCAAUAUCACACAAUGAAUCCCAGAAGAUGGUAAAUAAAUAAAUAAAAACUACGCAAGCCAGGUAAGAUUAAAUUGUAGUAGGAGUAUUUUCAGUGGUAAUUACAGGGUCUGUCAUUGCUGAACUUAGAGUAAUAGAGGCAAAUGUCAAGAAAUUCAGCAGUCACAUGGCACUUAAUGAAUAUGAAUGGAACAUAUUAUACAGACACUGAUCAAGUCUUUAUGACUCAUUUAAAAUAAGAUUAGUUUCAGGUUUAAAUCAGAAAUUAAUUUUUAGUACACAAAGGAUACAAUGUAUCUUAUUUAGAUCUAUUGUUCACACUGCCUUUUGUUUACAAAAUUGGAAUUUUGAGAUUCCAAGGGGGUUGCUGUCUUUUAGUUUGUUACUUAUAAUCUAAGUGGUUAAAUUGUAGCUGAAGAUCAGUCAGAAAACUUGAUACAGUAUUUUUAUCCUCUUCGGAAACAAAAGUGACUAAAUCCUGAAAUGUUUUGAGGAUAAGGAUAUACAAAAAGUAUGUGAUCCUGAUAUCCCUGAAUGUUUCAUUUAACUAUUUUCAACCACCAUGAAACAUUUUGACAUUUGUGGAAAGACACAUUGCAUUUCAGUUUGUCAGAUCAAAGACAAAUGUUUCGCUUGGACUUAGUUUUUAUGUGUACCCUUGAGCUGUUCAACAGCUUCCUGGCAUUUAUACUCCAUGCUCCAGUUCUUUCAUGUGCUGAGUCCCUAACCCAAGUUGUGCUGACUUCAAUGGUAAAGACAUUUCUGCAUCUGUAAGUAUAACAGUGCAUUGUUUUUGUCGGGAAGCAGAAAAACACUGGCAAAAUUGUUUCCUGUGGAAAAUGUAACUUUUACAGAAACAGCAUUUUCCAUUGAAACACCACGUUUUUAGAAAAAUUCCAACUAACUGCGCUUACAGUAUAUUUCAGGAGUGUUAUUAUGAAAUCUAUAAAUGCUAACAUCUAUUUUUUAUCCUAAAUAAUUUUGAUAACAAAAACUUUUCAGACACCCAGGAUAGAUAAAAUUAAUUAGGCUUUCAUGUAUAGGAUAUAUUUAUAAUAAUUUAAUUAUAAUUUCAGUAUUACAUUAAUAAUUAUACAACAACAUAAAGUGUUAUGGUGCAUUGUGGUUAUUUUGCAUUACUCCAAAUACUGAAAGUCCAUGAGUCUGCAGAUUAUUGCAAAGGGGACAAGAAACGGGUGACAAAGUGAGCAAUCAUUGUAGUGUAGUCACACAAAAUUACAAGGAAUACACAAGGUCUUGUUUUGCUGGACAAAGGAGGUACUAAAACUGUCAGAGGUGAUGCCCUUACUCAGAGCUGUGGGGUUCUUUCACCCUUCCCUUCCACCCCAGUUCUUUGAUUUCUUUCUGAAGCAUACUUUUGGGUAGAUAUGUGCUGGGUUUUGAGCACAGCUCCAAGCCACAGAGGCACUGAAGCCAAACAGCUUUGAUGUGAUCCUGUGCUCCAUCUCAGCUUGAGGGAAGCCUCUGCAGGUUGGUAAAUUGGGAUGUGUGGUGGUCCCACCCAUUGACUGGGCAGCACCAUAGUGUGCAGGCCAGGAAGCACAUUUACCAAUUUACACCAUGUUUACCUUGUGGGAACAUGAGAAGCCACCUUGGAAAAGAAAAAAGCGUCUGUCUUCCUUCGCUGCUGCAGCUGGAGCAGUGCAUGUGAAGGCAAAAUGAGAUUUUAGCAGAGAAGCUCUAGGUGAUUUACGUGCUUUUCUUCAAGGACCAUACUUAUAUGGAUUGUUAAGACAAAACUAGAAUUUUCUUCUACAGAUUUGGGUUGAAACUUCCUGUUCUAUCUCUAGGGUGAGUAAUUCAUGCUGUGUGUCUGUUUUUCCACCCCUCUCCUACAGCUACACAAAUAGGCACUCAUGCACACAUGCUGCAUUGGUCAGAUGUCUGGGGUUAACCCAGAUAGUGUGAGCCUCAGAUCAAAAGCCUGAGUUAAAAUGCUAUUUUUGCUGCUGAGGCUUGAGGUGUCUGUUCACGGCACAGACAUGAGACAACCUCACGCACCAUUUGCAGGGCUGUGGGAGAUAAAACUGGUGCUAUUUGGUUUGCAGCUCACCCAGGUACAGGUACACAUGCAGGCAGACAAUGCCAGGCACAGUUCUCCACUCUGUUCCUAAUUUCUUUGUUUCAUAUUUACCUUUGUUCUGGCUAGGGACACGUGCCUAGUUUGGGGGCUUUUUUUGUCUUCUGAGACUGAUAACCUUCUUAUCAGUUAAACCAAAUGAAAGGCCACACUUACACUUGCUGGUUUAAACAGUUUGUUACAGUUGAGUUGCAGAUUGUGAAUGAGGCCAGACUAACAACUGGGUCCUUUGCAUGUCAAGCAAUAACGAUAUCAGGUUCAUCAUAUUUCUUUUCCUCCCCUAUAAUUCAGUUGUGUGAAUAAAUGAAGAAAACCAUAUAACAUUCAAGCCUUCCUUAAUUGGUUGUAUAGUCUCAAGUAUCACUUUUCUGAAGUUACCUGCCAUCUGGCACUGGGAGCAGGUUUGCCAGGACAACUGCUGAGCAAACAGCAACCUUCCUAAGCAGAUGGAAAUGCAGCAAGGUGGCAUAGAAAACCUAUCUGAUGAUCCAAGCCCCAGCUAUCCUUGUGGUCUCAGGUCUCUCUCUCUCUCUCUCUCUAAUUUCUGUCUUUCCCUUUAAAACUGCUUUUUGGUAUUGUAGAAAAUGAGAUUUGGAAAAGGAGAAGGAAGAGAGGAAUUAAAACAAGAAAUGCAGAUAUCCUUGUGACUCUUCAGGGCUAAUUGAUUAGCUUAUUAUGGAAGCAGGUGCAAAGGACAUGGAGGGGAGACUGAGCACUGACAGUUGAUGUGUUUGUGUGGAGUGCUCACUAAAGGCUUCACUAAAACUCAGCCCAGAACUGAUGCCCAUUCCCAGCUCCUUCAUAUGUCCUUAUGUCUCUCUCAUGUAUAUUAGCUGAUGAACAUCAACAGCUAAAAACCCCGACCUCUUAAUAAGAUGCUGAAGUCUGCAGCAAGUCAUGUGAAAAUGCUAAGCCUCUCAAUUUUCCAGCCUACCCCUCUGCCAGAGAUGUCUGUGUCUGUAGCAGAUGCAGAAGAAGGAAAUCUGUGUCUAUGCAUCAGCAGCUACAGUUCAGGUUCCUACGCCUUAUCUCAAAACUUGCCUCCACUGGGAAGGUGGUGAGUUAGUGGGCAAUCAGUUGGGCUGAGGGUGGUAACGUGCCAUUGUACUAAUUCUGGUGUGGAAGGGGUAUUCUUUGGCAGACUUCUAAAACAUUUAUGUCUUACAACAACACAGGAGGAUCAAGCUUUUCGUAGGUUUCUUUUGGUAACAAAGCCAGAUGAAUGGAAUGAUCAGAGAAGAAAACACACCAAUUUUCCAUGGAGUUAUAUUGCAGCUGAGUGAGUUCCCUGAGCCGGUUGGAUGUCCUGUCUGGCAGGGGUUGUGCUGGUGGCACUGCCAGCGCCACACGCUCCUGGGGCAGGGAAAGAGCGGCAGGGAAUGGGCAAUUGGGCAGGAGUGACUUAGCCGGGUUAUGCUUCUCAGCUUGGACCUUUUUCAUCUGCCUGUCUGACAAACUUCUACUGGAUCAACAGCAUCACUCAAGGCCGUAUAGAUCUUCAUCAAUAAAACUACAUUUUAAACGACUUCACUUGGAAUAUUUAUUAAGCUAUAAGGCUCUACAUACAUACACCUCUACAAUUGCUUUACUUUGCUUAAGCAGGAGUUAUAAAUGUCAUCAGGACACCAAACAUGAAGGAGUUUAACUUUUCCAUAUAACAUUAGGAACGAAAUAGCACAUUGCCAAAUCCUCCAACACCACUUAAGGCAGAGAUUUUAAGCAAUGUUUAAAAUAGGAAGGCGCGGGGUGCCUGAGCCCUCUCGCUGCGGUGCCGGGGGGGUGCAGGACCCUGUCCCCGCCCGGCACCGGCCCGGAGCCCGCAGACACCUGCCGGCGGCACUUCCAUCAAUCAGCUUCGCCUGCGGACAUUUUUAUUAAGUAGAUCUAUCACCCAUCCAUCUAUCUACCUAUCUAUCCGCAUACACAUACAUAUAUAUUUAUAUAUAUACACACACACACACACAUAUACUUCAUAAGAGUAUACACUUAUAUAAUAUAUAUAGAUAAGUAUGAAAAAUUAAUAGGAACACACACAUAUAUAUACACACUUAAUAUACAUACAUG